Long non-coding RNA from Serinus canaria (Common canary), 3679 nucleotides. RefSeq lists it as uncharacterized. The transcript is spliced from 2 exons. The record is from RefSeq and is a predicted model, not a curated record. Lineage: Eukaryota; Metazoa; Chordata; Aves; Passeriformes; Fringillidae.
ACACCAGGGAAAUGAUUGUGUGUGAUCUUGCUGGUGAGGGGAGGCAGGAAGAGAUGGUCACAAUACAUCUGAGCUCUGUCUGUGAUGUGUGUCUCUCUAGAUAAACAAUCCUGGUUUGAGCUUAUGAUCUGGUGAGUCCAGAGCCUGGGACUAAUACAGGGUUAGUGUUUUCUUUUUGUGUAUUUUGUUACGCAUAUCAGUAAUUUCUGCACAUUGAAGAGGGGUAGUUUCCUUCAUACCUGAAUAUCCUCCAGUUAUUCUAAAGAAGAAAAGAAAGUCCUAUUCUCUUAAAAGGAAAGGAAAGUCUGCAGUCUCCCUGUUCAUCAGGCAGCGUCCAACUAGUUUUCUUCGUAGCAGAAGAUGCUACGAAGAAAACUAGAUUUUCAUUAGAUUUCUGUUUUAAUAACAGUUGUAAAUGGCAGUCAGUGGGACUGGCCUUGGGAAGUGCCUGUCAUUGCAGGAGAGGCAAGAAGAGAUGUUUGGUGGUCCCUUUCAUGGCUUGCUACUUGUGCAGCACAUUCCUGAGACAAAUCUUGAAGCUAAGGUGUGAAUGAUUUCUCAUACCAUGAACUUUAUCAACUUGAAACACAGGAUCGAAGGAUGAAUCAUUCUCACUGAAUCAUUCUGAAUACUUAUUUCUUCUCCAGCUCUUUUUCUACUGUCUUAUGUGUCCACCUUAACUCUUAAUGUAACCUAAAAAAACCUGUAGCCCUUCAGAACAAUGGGUGCAGUCACACUACUGCACUUGUAGGUCCUGCUCCCUUGGCUGCUAAACAGGAAUUUGCCUUUUCUAUUGCAUGCUCCCAGGUUGCUUUUCUCUUGCUUUCUCCAAGCUUUUAAUAAAGCAUUGGAUAUCCUCUGGUUUCCUUCCUCAAGAAGGAAGAAACAAAGCCUGAUCUAAAAUAGCCCAUAUGCACCCAGAUAGAAACCCUGUUUAAAUAUCACACAGUGCCAGGCAGAGCAGCCACAGUUUUAUUUAUUUAUCUAUUUAUUUAUUUAUCUAUUUGUAUUAACUACCCAGGGAUUAGCCUGUUUCCCAAAUCAGGGAAGACUGUGAAAGCUUUAAUUACACAAACAAUGCAAACUGAACCUUUUGCCUCCUCACACAGGCAUGAGAGAGUUCUGGGAUGCCUGGUGGUGCAGCUGGGUGUGUUGUCAAAGCACUUGUCCUUGCUCUGACUUACAAACUCACACCACUGCCUGCGUAAGCACAUGCAGGUUUCUAUAUAGAGCCAAGGAAAACAAAACUGCAGCUGAAAUCUGCUUCUCCUCCUGCUUUAAGGAUUUAUGCCUAGACUAUUGAUGGGCAGAACAAGAGAGCUAAUGCAUCCAUAGACUUGGAAAGCACAGCAACAGGAUGGAUACUUUGCAUCUCUGACAGGAUCUUGAAAAUGUGAAAUAAUUCAGAUUGCAAGGGACAUCAGGAGAUUCAGAUCAAACCUACAAUCCAAAGCAUGGCCACUUAAAACAGGAUGCUUAGGACUUGACCAGCCAAGUUUUGGAAACCCCCAAGGCUGAGGAUCUCACAGAUUCUCUGGGCACUUGCUCCAGUUUUUGAUUGCCCUUGUGGUAAAAACAAUUUUCUGUUUAUUUAGUCAGAUCUAUCAUGCAGUUCUGCAGAGACUGGCUUUUCUUAUCUCACCAUCAGGCAGCUGUAGACACCAACAAGCUUUUCCAUGGGACUUCUCUGUUGUGAGGCUGAGAAAGCCCAGCUCCUGCAACCUCUCCUCACUCGUUGUGCUCUCAGCUGCCUGCUCAGUCCAGUGUAUCAAUAUCUUUCUUGCACUGGAGCCCCCAAAGCUCCAUGCAGUUCUCCAGAUGUGGUCUCACAAGUGCUGAAUAGAGGGGACUAAUGAAUUUCCUUGGCUUUCAGCUGUGAUUCUGUAAGUAAAGCCCAGUAUGCUGUUGGUUUCCUUUGCCUCAAGGGCACGCUGCAAUUCCCACCCCUGGUCCUCUCUCUUUUUAUUCUAAAGCUGUUCCCAACACAUCUACCUAGUCUGAAUUGCUGAAGGGGUUAGUCUGCCUCAGAGGCAGGACUUUGCUGCAUUUGCCUGAGUUCAUGAAGUACCUGGCAGAUAAUUUCUCCAGCAGCCUGAGAUCUGCCUUUCAAGGAAGUCCUGCCCUGGCUGUUGCAGCUGCCCAGCCCAUGCCCCAGGAGAGAGCUGGCACACUCAUGUUACUGCAAACCUCCCCAGACCAGGCUCAGUGAAGUCCAGACACUGCUGAAAGGGCACUCUGUGGUGUCCUCCAGGAUGUUAAUAAAGAUGUUAGAUGGUACUGGUCCCAGGACUGACCACCUAGAAUGCCCCUGGAAAUUGGCUGCCAGUUCAACUUUAUCUGGACAGCUGGGCUCAAAGGAUGGUCUGGUACACUCCUCACCCAUUUCAGGUAGCUACCCAGUCCAAAUCAGUGAUUUGACUAUAGGCUGUUUUAAAAAUAAAUAAAUUAAAAAAAAAAAAAAAAAAAGAAAACAACAGAAGAAUCCUUUUAUUUUCAAAGUUUGGUCAAUCCACGAAAGAAAGAGCAGCACAUUUUUUGCAAAGCCCAAAUAACUGUACAGCUCAUUCUGAAGACAGAUUUUUUCCCAAGAAAAAGGAAGUGCCUGUUGAAGAGAAGGAACCAGGAAGGGAGCUGGGCCCAACUGUGGCCAGCAUGGUUCUGCUGGAUGGUACCUUUAGAGACACACUACAUCCUUCACACUUCUCCUUCCAGUGUUCGUCUCCUUAAAAUCACUGAACACCCAGGACCUAUGGAAGAAAUGGAGCAAAACUUUGUAGGGGGAAAUGCUGCCUGGGUGUAUCAGCAGCCACCUUUUCACUUCAGAGGAAAUCAGGUUGUCUUCCAGUGAGUUCCAGUCAUCAAAUUAUUUUAUUGUUACAAUAUCAUGAAGCAUUUUUUAUUUUGUGCACGUCAAGGUGCUCAAAGUGUUAGUUUUCACAGUAUAGAAUGGAUGUGACAGCAUUUGUCAUGGAAGCACUCAGCAGAGUAUGUUUCAACUUCAUUUUGUUGUGCUGUUUUAUGAAGUUCUGCAGUAAAAUGUGCCAGCAAAUUAUGUUAGUUUCUUUCUGGUGAUUAACUAAUCAUUCAUAUAAUAAAUAGCAGCUAACUACAAGAAAGAGAUUUAUUUGUCACAGAUUAAGAAGAAUGUCAAACUUUUCCCAUUUCAUGUAAAAAGGCAGAGGAAAAAAUACUUCUAAAAUGACUUUGCAAUAUGUGCUUUAUUUUAAGUCAUUACUGAAUCAAAACUACAAGUAUAUCCUUUUAACAUACCCUACCCACUCAAUUUUUUUUUUUCUCAAUUUUUUUUUUUAACAUGGAAAGAAACCUACAUUGCAAUUGUAAAUCUUCAUGCUGCAAUGAGCCAUUUGUUUCACUAAUAAUAGCAAUUUAAAAGAAAAAAGGGCAUUUCUCAAGCUCAUAUGUAUGUCUAUAUUUGGGAACUUAAAAAAAAAACCCGUCUUAGAUGUAAAAAUGUGACUUGGAAUAUGUAAACAUUUUUGUAUACCUGAAACACUGGAAGAAGAAUAUCAGCAAACAGCAAAACAAGAGUUGCCUUAAAUCAUCGAAAUGGGAAAAAGCAUGUCAUGGGGAGCAGAGAGAAGCACACACUACUCAGAGUCUUUAAAGGGUUAUAAGAAAUGAAGUAGCACAUUAGGUCAUCGAUUUCACUUUCUUUUCU